UCUCCUCUAUAUAUAAGCUCCCUCCUCGCCAUUUCACCCAUUCACUAACUUUUCCACUUCUCACAGCUCUCAAAUAAAACUCUCAUCGGAAAAGUUAAGAUUCCGACCAAGUCCCAAACUCAAACGCCGGAAAAAUGUCGAUGAGCUCGAGCAACACCUGGUUACUGUCUCUCAAGGUCGUUCUCAUCUCCACCGGUUUGGUGUCCAUGGCCGUGGCGCUAAAGCUCUCAGCUCCAGUGGUUUCGGACAUCGUCGCCUCCCAAGUCCCUUCUCUCUGGAGCUCAGCGCUGUCCUGGCUCAGACCUCCCUACCUCUACAUCCUCAUCAACUGCAUCAUCAUCAGCAUCGUCGCCUCCUCCAAGCUCCAUAGCGGCGGUGGACGGCGGCGAUGAGGCCGUGCGGGUGUCGACGCCUGUGCGGACGCGUUUGCAGAGGAAAGACUCUAUGGAGUUUUGGUUGAACGAGAACGAGAAACCUCCCGUUUCUUCUAGAUUUGGUCAUAGAAAAUUCGCCAGAGCUAGCCCUGAAGGUGGGAAGUCGUUGGGAGUGGCGAAGCCGAAGCGGCAGGACACGCUUGAGAGCACGUGGAAGACGAUAACGGAGGGGCGUUCGAUGCCGUUAACUAGGCACCUGAAGAAGUCCGACACGUGGGACACGCAUGUGCGGAGUGUGGACCAGAACACGCCUCCCAAGUCCAAGAUGAACAAGUCCGAGACGUUCCAGGACCCAAGCAGCGCAACCGUUAACUCGCCGUCGCUGCUGAGUCCGUCGACCGGGUCGGGUCGGCUCAGGAAGGAACCGUCGCUGAGUCAGGACGAUUUGAACCGCCGAGUGGAGGCGUUCAUCAAGAAGUUCAACGAGGAGAUGAGGCUGCAGAGGCAGGAGUCGUUGAAUCAGUACCAUGAGAUGAUUAGAAGUGGCGCCCGGGCUCCAUUGGCUCAUUAGUUUCAGUUUCAGUUAUUUAUCUCUUUUGUCCUUUUUUUCUGUUUUUGUUUAUAAUUUUAAACAAAGCAAACAGAGCAUUCGGCGGGCAAUAGGCAAUUACCAUAUGUUAAUUAU
This is a non-coding RNA of Prunus avium (sweet cherry), 1059 nucleotides long. Lineage: Eukaryota; Viridiplantae; Streptophyta; Magnoliopsida; Rosales; Rosaceae. The record is from RefSeq and is a predicted model, not a curated record.